UAUUAGAUAGUUGGACAAAGAACCGUCGGUUGGUACAUACGUUGAGACCAGCGGGUGGAGGAUACGUAAAUAGUAGAUUGUUGACGUACAAGAACAUUUUAAACUGAGAAAAUAAAGGUAAAAGUAAAGCCAGAAAAUGAAUAUUCAGAAUUUAUAUUCAACGAAGGUGAUGAAAAGUUUGAAGUUUUAAAUAAUUGCAAGACAGAAUUUAAUACGGAUACGAAAACAUUCUGUAGAAGAAUUAAAUCUGAACCUUUACAACAUAAAAAUAUACAGAUAAAUAUUAAAGGAAAGUCAAUUUCCACGAACAACACAAACGGAUCCACCAUUUGGAGUCAUUCUGGUUAUAAAAUCGAAACAG
Centruroides sculpturatus (bark scorpion) is the source of this 361-nucleotide long non-coding RNA. RefSeq lists it as uncharacterized. The record is from RefSeq and is a predicted model, not a curated record. The transcript has 3 exons. NCBI's taxonomy places the organism in Eukaryota, Metazoa, Arthropoda, Arachnida, Scorpiones, Buthidae.